GCACGAGUGGCGGAAUUGGCAGACGCACCGGAUUUAGGUUCCGGCGGGGCAACCCGUGGAGGUUCAAGUCCUCUCUCGUGCA
This 82-nucleotide transfer RNA is filed under the name Polyangiaceae bacterium. Its description in RNAcentral is "tRNA-Leu". It matches the Rfam family "tRNA". From Rfam's summary of the family: Transfer RNA (tRNA) molecules are approximately 80 nucleotides in length. Their secondary structure includes four short double-helical elements and three loops (D, anti-codon, and T loops). Lineage: Bacteria; Pseudomonadati; Myxococcota; Polyangiales; Polyangiaceae. The record is from RNAcentral.